RNAcentral lists this ribosomal RNA (109 nucleotides) under Planctomycetota bacterium. Lineage: Bacteria; Pseudomonadati; Planctomycetota. The record is from RNAcentral.
CCGGGUGACCACAAGGGCGGGGCCACACCUGAAUCCAUUCCGAACUCAGAAGUUAAGCCCGUCCUGCCGAUGGUACUGUUUCAAGCGGGAGAGUAGGUCGUUGCCCGGU